This 1347-nucleotide ribosomal RNA is filed under the name uncultured bacterium. RNAcentral describes it as "bacterial SSU rRNA". It matches the Rfam family "Bacterial small subunit ribosomal RNA", at positions 14 to 1381 of the family's 1533-position model. The record is from RNAcentral.
UGAUCCUGGCUCAGGACGAACGCUGGCGGCACGCUUAACACAUGCAAGUCGAACGAGAGAAGAGAAGCUUGCUUUUCUGAUCUAGUGGCGGACGGGUGAGUAACACGUGAGCAAUCUGCCUUUCAGAGGGGGAUACCGAUUGGAAACGAUCGUUAAUACCGCAUAACAUAAUUGAACCGCAUGAUUUGAUUAUCAAAGAUUUAUCGCUGAAAGAUGAGCUCGCGUCUGAUUAGCUAGUUGGUAAGGUAACGGCUUACCAAGGCGACGAUCAGUAGCCGGACUGAGAGGUUGAUCGGCCACAUUGGGACUGAGACACGGCCCAGACUCCUACGGGAGGCAGCAGUGGGGAAUAUUGCACAAUGGAGGAAACUCUGAUGCAGCGAUGCCGCGUGAGGGAAGAAGGUUUUAGGAUUGUAAACCUCUGUCUUCAGGGACGAAAAAAGACGGUACCUGAGGAGGAAGCUCCGGCUAACUACGUGCCAGCAGCCGCGGUAAUACGUAGGGAGCGAGCGUUGUCCGGAAUUACUGGGUGUAAAGGGAGCGUAGGCGGGAUCGCAAGUCAGAUGUGAAAACUAUGGGCUUAACCCAUAAACUGCAUUUGAAACUGUGGUUCUUGAGUGAAGUAGAGGUAAGCGGAAUUCCUAGUGUAGCGGUGAAAUGCGUAGAUAUUAGGAGGAACAUCAGUGGCGAAGGCGGCUUACUGGGCUUUAACUGACGCUGAGGCUCGAAAGCGUGGGGAGCAAACAGGAUUAGAUACCCUGGUAGUCCACGCCGUAAACGAUGAUUACUAGGUGUGGGGGGACUGACCCCUUCCGUGCCGCAGCAAACGCAAUAAGUAAUCCACCUGGGGAGUACGACCGCAAGGUUGAAACUCAAAGGAAUUGACGGGGGCCCGCACAAGCAGUGGAGUAUGUGGAUUAAUUCGAAGCAACGCGAAGAACCUUACCAGGUCUUGACAUCGUAUGCAUAGCUCAGAGAUGAGUGAAAUCUCUUCGGAGACAUAUAGACAGGUGGUGCAUGGUUGUCGUCAGCUCGUGUCGUGAGAUGUUGGGUUAAGUCCCGCAACGAGCGCAACCCUUACUGUUAGUUGCUACGCAAGAGCACUCUAGCAGGACUGCCGUUGACAAAACGGAGGAAGGUGGGGAUGACGUCAAAUCAUCAUGCCCUUUAUGACCUGGGCCUCACACGUACUACAAUGGCUGUCAACAGAGGGAAGCAAAGCCGCGAGGUGGAGCAAACCCCUAAAAGCAGUCUUAGUUCGGAUUGUAGGCUGCAACCCGCCUACAUGAAGUCGGAAUUGCUAGUAAUCGCAGAUCAGCAUGCUGCGGUGAAUACGUUCCCGGGCCU